RNAcentral lists this ribosomal RNA (469 nucleotides) under uncultured bacterium. RNAcentral's name for it is "partial 16S ribosomal RNA". It matches the Rfam family "Bacterial small subunit ribosomal RNA", at positions 28 to 507 of the family's 1533-position model. The record is from RNAcentral.
GACGAACGCUGGCGGCGUGCUUAACACAUGCAAGUCGAACGAUGAAGCACCAGCUUGCUGGUGUGGAUUAGUGGCGAACGGGUGAGUAACACGUGAGUAACCUGCCCCUCACUCUGGGAUAAGCCUGGGAAACUGGGUCUAAUACUGGAUACGACCGAUCUCCGCAUGGAGUGUUGGUGGAAAGUUUUUGUGGUGGGGGAUGGACUCGCGGCCUAUCAGCUUGUUGGUGGGGUAAUGGCCUACCAAGGCGACGACGGGUAGCCGGCCUGAGAGGGCGACCGGCCCCACUGGGACUGAGACACGGCCCAGACUCCUACGGGAGGCAGCAGUGGGGAAUAUUGCACAAUGGGCGAAAGCCUGAUGCAGCGACGCCGCGUGGGGGAUGACGGCCUUCGGGUUGUAAACCUCUUUCACCAGGGACGAAGCUAACGUGACGGUACCUGGAGAAGAAGCACCGGCUAACUACGUG